RNAcentral lists this ribosomal RNA (468 nucleotides) under uncultured bacterium. RNAcentral's name for it is "partial 16S ribosomal RNA". It matches the Rfam family "Bacterial small subunit ribosomal RNA", at positions 28 to 507 of the family's 1533-position model. The record is from RNAcentral.
GACGAACGCCGGCGGCGUGCUUAACACAUGCAAGUCGAACGGAAAGGCCCUGCUUUUGUGGGGUGCUCGAGUGGUGAACGGGUGAGUCACACGCGAGUAACCUGCCCUUGACUUUGGCAUAACUUCAGGAAACUGGGGCUAAUACCGGAUAGGAGCCCCUGCUGCAUGUUGGGGGUUGGAUCGUUUCGGCGGCUGGGGAUGGACUCGCGGAUUACUAGCUUGUUGGUGGGGUAGUGGCUUACCAAGGCCUUGACGGGUGGCCGGCCUGAGGGGGUGACCGGCCACAUUGGGAAUAGGAUACGGCCCAGACGCCUACGGGAGGGAGCAGUGAGGAGUAUUGCACAAUGGGCGGAAGCCUGAUGCAGCAACGCCGCGUGCGGGAUGACGGCCUUCGGGUUGUAACCCGCUUUCGCCUGUGACGAAGCGUGAGUGACGGUAAUGGGUAAAGAGGCACCGGCUAGCUACGUG